CGGGUGUAACUCAAUGGUAGAGUGCCAGCUUCCCAAGCUGGUUACGUGGGUUCGAUUCCCAUCACCC
Molecule: transfer RNA, 67 nt
Filed under: human gut metagenome
Rfam family: tRNA
About the family: Transfer RNA (tRNA) molecules are approximately 80 nucleotides in length. Their secondary structure includes four short double-helical elements and three loops (D, anti-codon, and T loops).
Source: RNAcentral